UCGUGCCAAUUGCCGGGUCUCGUCUAUUUGGCUAUUUGUCCAGUUUUGGGCACAGAUCGCUGAGGCAAAAGCAAAAGCAACAGCAAAAGCAUUUCAAUGCUUGCCAAGUCAAAUACGAGCAUAUGUAAAUAUUAAUUUUAUUAAGCAAACGUGACGCGAACUCUUUUUUAAACGUUGACACGACAAUUGCAACCCACACACACACACACACUCACACAUGGACACACACAUACACACGCUACUUAGAUUAAACAGUGCGCGCAUUUCAUAUUUGGCUUUUCAAUUCACAAUAUUUAUGCCAUGCAAAACUGUUGUUUAUUGUAACUGUUAUAAGCGACACACCGACACACACACACACACACAUGCGCAUACACGCGGAGUCAGUGUGACAUCGUACCGGCCUAUGGCUACGUGCAGUCCAUCAAUGAGACGCAUCCAAAUGCGUGGGAAACGGCGCCGGCCUUGCUUUGAAGUUUAGCUUGAAAGGCGAUUUUUUUUUUUUCAAAGGCAGCAGCAACUGUGCACACUCAUCGCACACACACACACGCGCACUCACAUAAAUUGCACGGAUGCGGGCUAGUGAAAGCUGCUGACAAGUGUGACCCUGCCUAGCGCAUUGCGCAUUCGAUGUUCGUAUGCACGCUCACGCACUCACGCACGCAAGCGCACGACCGAUUUAUGUAUGUGCAUGCAGUGUGACCCUGCUAUGUGCCAGCAAUUAAAACCAAAACAAAUCGAAAAACGAACAAUCAAAACAAAAGCGCGCUAGAACGUUCGCGGCAAAUAAGGCUAAAUAACAUAAUUAUAGCAAUUAAUGAACCCGCAACGUGCUGUCAAUGCCAAAUGUAACAGACGAAAGCCAAUAUACAGUGCGCCAAUUAAGUCUUCGUACAGCAACAAUUCGUUUCUUGAGGAACCCAUAAAGCAGAUACAUACAUAGAUCCAAGUCAACAUGCCCGUUUACCCAUGGAUCUAUGUAUGUACAUACAUAUGUCAAUAUACCCGCUUACACAUGGCGCACAGUGUAUUCUGAAUCAUCGGCAACAACAAUUGGCGCAUUUCGUAGGCGACGCUCAACGACUUUUGGACUUCCUUUUUUGUGGGGCGGCCGCCACAUGAUUGUCGCCAUUGAGACUGCACGACAACGGCAACGGCAACGUGACGCAUGAGCAUGGGGCAGCAAUAAAGGCGGCAACAACAACAACAACAACAACAGC
This 1217-nucleotide small RNA is filed under the name Drosophila mojavensis. Its description in RNAcentral is "GI26856". The record is from RNAcentral. Lineage: Eukaryota; Metazoa; Arthropoda; Insecta; Diptera; Drosophilidae.